Molecule: ribosomal RNA, 448 nt
Filed under: uncultured bacterium
Lineage: Bacteria
Description: bacterial SSU rRNA
Rfam family: Bacterial small subunit ribosomal RNA
Source: RNAcentral
CCCAGACUCCUACGGGAGGCAGCAGUGGGGAAUAUUGGGCAAUGGGCGCAGGCCUGACCCAGCGACGCCGCGUGAGGGAAGACGGUCUUCGGAUUGUAAACCUCCUUCAGCAGGGAAGACAAAAGGACGGUACCUGCAGAAGAAGCCACGGCUAACUACGUGCCAGCAGCCGCGGUAAUACGUAGGUGGCGAGCGUUAUCCGGAAUUACUGGGUGUAAAGGGAGCGUAGACGGCGAGGUAAGCCUGAAGUGGAAGCCCGCGGCCCAACCGCGGAACUGCUUUGGGAACUGUUUUGCUGGAGUAUGGGAGGGGUAAGCGGAAUUCCUGGUGUAGCGGUGAAAUGCGUAGAUAUCAGGAGGAACACCGGUGGCGAAGGCGGCUUACUGGACCAUAACUGACGUUGAGGCUCGAAAGCGUGGGGAGCGAACAGGAUUAGAUACCCUGGUAA